Molecule: long non-coding RNA, 1098 nt
Filed under: Anas platyrhynchos platyrhynchos (common mallard)
Lineage: Eukaryota; Metazoa; Chordata; Aves; Anseriformes; Anatidae
Description: lncRNA (ENSAPLG00000026396.1)
Source: RNAcentral
AUGGUGGAGUUCACUAUUCUUGGCGGGGCCAGGAAGGGAACCAGUAAAACCACUGUAUUGGACUUUCGGAGGGCUGACUUUGAGCUGCUCAGGACACUGGUUGGUGGAGUCCCAUGGGAGGCGGUUCUGAAGGGCAGAGGGGUCCAGAAAGGCUGGGCGCUCUUUAAGAGGCAAAUCCUAAUGGCGCAGGAGCGGUCUAUUCCCAUGCACCCAAAGAUGAGCCAGCGGGGAAGAAGACCAGCCUGGCUCAACAGAGAACUGUGGCUUGAGCUUAGGAGAAAAAAGAGGGUUUAUAAUCUUUGGAAAAUUGGGCAGGCCACUAGGGAGGACUAUAAGGAUGUAGCGAGGCUGUGCAGGGACAAGAUUAGGAAGGCCAAAGCUCAUCUGGAGCUCAAUCUGGCUACUGCCGUUAAAGAUAACAAAAAAUGCUUUUAUAAAUACAUCAACACCAAAAGGAGGACUAGGGAGAAUCUCCAUCCUUUACUGGAUGCAGGGGGAAACUUAGUUACAAGAGAUGAGGAAAAGGCGGAGGUGCUUAAUGCCUUCUUUGCCUCAGUCUUUAGCGGCAAAACCGGUUGCUCUCUGGAUACCCAGUACCCAGAACUGGUGGAAGGGGACGGGGAGCAGGAUGUGGCCCUCACCAUCCACGAAGAACUGGUUGGUGACCUGCUACGGCACUUGGAUGUCCACAAAUCGAUGGGGCCGGAUGGGAUCCACCCAAGGGUACUGAGAGAACUGGCAGAGGAGCUGGCCAAGCCCCUAUCCAUCAUUUAUCAGCAGUCCUGGCUAUCGGGGGAGGUCCCAGCUGACUGGCGACUAGCAAAUGUGACGCCCAUCUACAAGAAGGGCCGGAGGGCAGACCCGGGGAACUACAGGCCUGUCAGUUUGACCUCAGUACCAGGGAAGCUCAUGGAGCAGAUCCUCUUGGGAGUCAUCAUGCGGCACUUGAAGGGCAAGCAGGCGAUCAGGCCCAGCCAGCAUGGGUUUAUGGAAGGCAGGUCCUGCUUGACGAACCUGAUCUCCUUCUACGACAAAGUGACGCGCUGGGUGGACGAGGGAAGGGCUGUGGAUGUCAAAAGCCUUCAGCAAGGCUUUUGA